UUGGACACGGGGCCUUUUGUGAGGUCAUUAAGGUUGAUAAGGUCAUAAGGGUGGGGCCCUAAUCCCCCAGGACUGGUGUCCGUAUAAGAAGAGGAAGAGACACCAGAGAGUCUGUGUGUGUGCAGAGGAAAGGCAUGUGAGGACACUGGGAAAAGGUGGCUGUCUCUAAGCCAAGAAGAGCAGUCCCACCAGAAACCAACCCUGCUGUCACCUUGAUCUUGGACUUCGAGCCUCCAGAACUGCAAGAAAAUCAAUUUCUGUUGUUUAAGCCCCCAAAAGGAAAACUCAAACUCAGGGGCUCAAGGACAUGUCAAAGGCACAGACAUAUGUUCCUGCAUUGAUCAAAUCAGGCUGUGCAGGUGGUUCGCUGCUCUGUGCAUCUCCGUGCAUCUGUGUGGAGCUGUUCCACGAACUGGCCACCUCGUACUGGAAAAGACGAGCAGGACCAGCACAGCACUCGUAUCUAAAUGCAUAAACAGGGGGCCUGCUCUCCACGUGUAAACUGAUCUGGUGCAAUUCAGAUAGAAUAUAUUCUAGGACUGGUGCCUUCUUCAACUCAUGCAAAUAAAAGUGCAGCAUGGUCCAAAGUACUGGAGUCAUGAGAAGGUAAGGGGGAAACAGCAGGCUGAGGACAAUGCCUUGAAAGUUCCAUCUAAUUUGAAAACAUCAUAGAUACUCAAGCAGAACUACACCUGCAUUGCUUUCACCUAAUCCUCCUCUCUUCUAAGAUGUGAAAUUGUUUGUCCCCGAGGCAAUUCAUCCAUGUUAUUUCUCACUUAAAAUUGCUCCUAAACAUGUUUGGAUACUGAAAAAGUCAAA
Molecule: long non-coding RNA, 819 nt
Filed under: Equus asinus (donkey)
Lineage: Eukaryota; Metazoa; Chordata; Mammalia; Perissodactyla; Equidae
Description: lncRNA (ENSEASG00005028346.1)
Source: RNAcentral